RNAcentral lists this long non-coding RNA (238 nucleotides) under Lathyrus oleraceus (garden pea). RNAcentral describes it as "Pisum sativum (pea) long non-coding RNA (PSAT_LNC029210)". Lineage: Eukaryota; Viridiplantae; Streptophyta; Magnoliopsida; Fabales; Fabaceae. The record is from RNAcentral.
UUCUAUUUAGAUGAUCAGUCAACACAAGGGAAUGGCUUGAGAUACUUCCAACAUGUUCAAAUGGGGUCUAUUCGUCAGUCAAAACGUUAAUCUUGAAGGAGCAAAAGUUUGUUCAUGAGCUGUCAUGCUCGCUAGGCAAGCAGAAUGGGUCGCCUAGCGAGUCCCAAGAAAAGCCACCAGAAUCACCUACGCUCAGAGGAAUUUCUUGAACUGUCAUGCUCGCUAGGCGAAGCCCACG